Long non-coding RNA from Phragmites australis (common reed), 1170 nucleotides. RefSeq lists it as uncharacterized. The transcript is spliced from 6 exons. The record is from RefSeq and is a predicted model, not a curated record. Lineage: Eukaryota; Viridiplantae; Streptophyta; Magnoliopsida; Poales; Poaceae.
UGAGGUGAAACUGACUCUAUGGGGACAACGUGCCGCUGAGUUUACCAUAGAUGAAGUUUACAAUGAAGAAGAAAGUAAACCAAUUGUUAUGCUGAUCGUCGGCAACCUCAUGAAAAGCUUCGCAGGUGAAGAAUAUCUGAGUGGAAACACUGCCUGCCGUUGGUAUUUUAAUCCUGUAAUUCCAGAAGUUGAAGACUUUUAUAACAGCACUCACAACCAGCGACUCACAAUCAAGUGUUCCACUCCUCCUGCGCAUCAAGCAGCGCUGCCACAACCAUCACUACAACUCGAGGAUAAGCAUUUGCUUGACUUACAAGAAAUGGACCCAUAUGAUUUUCCGCAAGGUGGCUGCCGCUGUACCGUCACUAUAACACGACUAAACUCAAACAGACCAUGGUGGUUCCCAUCAUGUAACAGGUGCAGCAGAGCCUGUGCACCAAGUGGCGAUAGUUACAAAUGCAACACAUGCUCGUGUACUGGCUAUUGCUUCAAGUAAGAAUCAUUUACCCUCCUUUUUCAUUAAUAUACAUAUACAUUGACCUAUGCAUUACAUAAUAAUAUUCCUAUAGAUACAAGCUAUCUUUCAUUGGGAAUGACGGAACUGCGGAAGCUGAGAUGAUAGCUUUCGGAGAAGUUGCUCGCCGGAUCAUUGGUAAACCAGUCCAGCAAGUCUUAAGAUUUGCAAGAUCUGCAAAUGACACCCCUCCUGACAUUGCAGCCAUAGUAUCCCUAAAAUUCACCUUUGCAAUAACCCUAACAGAUCAGAGCUACUACAGUCCCCACAAAACAUAUCAGAUCAUCUCCAUCAUCACUUCUUAUGGAAGACAACAAACACUGCCCCAUACAAGAUUCAGCCAACCCAAGGAACCAACAACCUCACAAAUAGCUAACCCAAUACUUCACUCUCAUAUUUCCACCACCAAUCCAGGUGCUAUUGUGCCUGAUGCUACCCUUCCAUCUGGACUCAAAAGCGAUACAUCUGCCUCGCAACCAGAAACUCAGAAAGCAGCCACAAGAAAUGUACAAACACACAGUACUCCUCCCCCUACACUGGAAUAUGAUGAAUCGCCUCUGAAAAAACUUGAAUAUCCAGAUGCCACUGACCUGUCUAAACACACAAGUGCUCAAAAAAGAUUGUUUGAAGAUAUAAUAGAUCCUGGAAAGGCAAGC